CACUCCUGCGGGAGGCAGCAGUGGGGAAUAUUGGACAAUGGGCGCAAGCCUGAUCCAGCCAUGCCGCGUGAGUGAUGAAGGCCCUAGGGUUGUAAAGCUCUUUCACCGGUGAAGAUAAUGACGGUAACCGGAGAAGAAGCCCCGGCUAACUUCGUGCCAGCAGCCGCGGUAAUACGCAGGGGGCUAGCGUUGUUCGGAUUUACUGGGCGUAAAGCGCACGUAGGCGGACUAUUAAGUCAGGGGUGAAAUCCCGGGGCUCAACCCCGGAACUGCCUUUGAUACUGGUAGUCUUGAGUUCGAGAGAGGUGAGUGGAAUUCCGAGUGUAGAGGUGAAAUUCGUAGAUAUUCGGAGGAACACCAGUGGCGAAGGCGGCUCACUGGCUCGAUACUGACGCUGAGGUGCGAAAGCGUGGGGAGCAAACAGGAUUAGAUACCCGGGUAGUCCCAUGA
This 450-nucleotide ribosomal RNA is filed under the name uncultured organism. RNAcentral describes it as "partial 16S ribosomal RNA". It matches the Rfam family "Bacterial small subunit ribosomal RNA", at positions 334 to 800 of the family's 1533-position model. The record is from RNAcentral.